Molecule: ribosomal RNA, 500 nt
Filed under: uncultured bacterium
Lineage: Bacteria
Description: partial 16S ribosomal RNA
Rfam family: Bacterial small subunit ribosomal RNA
Source: RNAcentral
AUUGAACGCUGGCGGCAUGCUUUACACAUGCAAGUCGAACGGCAGCGCGGGCUUCGGCCUGGCGGCGAGUGGCGAACGGGUGAGUAAUAUAUCGGAACGUACCCAAGAGUGGGGGAUAACGUAGCGAAAGUUACGCUAAUACCGCAUACGAUCCAAGGAUGAAAGCAGGGGACCGCAAGGCCUUGUGCUCCUGGAGCGGCCGAAAUCUGAUUAGCUAGUUGGUGGGGUAAAGGCUCACCAAGGCAACGAUCAGUAGCUGGUCUGAGAGGACGACCAGCCACACUGGAACUGAGACACGGUCCAGACUCCUACGGGAGGCAGCAGUGGGGAAUUUUGGACAAUGGGGGCAACCCUGAUCCAGCAAUGCCGCGUGAGUGAAGAAGGCCUUCGGGUUGUAAAGCUCUUUUGUCAGGGAAGAAAAGGCUGUGGCUAAUAUCCACAGCUGCUGACGGUACCUGAAGAAUAAGCACCGGCUAACUCUGUGCCAGCCGCCGCGGUAA